This 119-nucleotide ribosomal RNA is filed under the name Lepisosteus oculatus (spotted gar). The record is from RNAcentral. Lineage: Eukaryota; Metazoa; Chordata; Actinopteri; Semionotiformes; Lepisosteidae.
GCUAGCAGCCAUAUUACCCUGCAACUCACACCUGGCAACCCACUGAAGCUAAGAAGGUGUGAGCCUGGUCAGUACCUGGAUGGGAGACCUCCUGGGGAAAACUAAGGUUGCUGCUGGAA